RNAcentral lists this long non-coding RNA (989 nucleotides) under Helianthus annuus (common sunflower). The stretch from base 185 to 312 matches the Rfam family "Small nucleolar RNA SNORD14". Lineage: Eukaryota; Viridiplantae; Streptophyta; Magnoliopsida; Asterales; Asteraceae. The record is from RNAcentral.
UAUCGAUGAUGAAAGAUGAAAGGCUUGUUUCUCAUGAACAUUCGCAGUGGCCGCCUGAUUGAACUUUCGCCUUCGCCAGGCUUGAGAGUUCAUGUUGCUCUUUCCUUCCUUCCUUGGAUGUCUGAGAUCCUCCUCUUUUUUUCUUUUCUUUUUUUUAUUUUUAUUUGUUUUGAUGUCUAUAAGAAACUGGUGAUGAUAAUGUUAAGGCUUGUUUCUCAGAAACAUUCGCAGUGGCCGACUAAGAGCUUUCGCCUUCGCCAGGCUCGAGAGCUUGUGCUGUCUUGCUCCUUCCUUCCUUGGAUGUCUGAAGUUUCAAUAUUAUACAUAAAUUAUUUAUUUAUUUAUUUAUUUAUGGAGAUUUAGUGUGGGUUUCUCAAUGAUGAUUUCAAUAGAUGACGAGUCUGAUGUAAUAUCCAUUCCAUUCAAUUAUGAAGACGAAUCGAGGCAUUUGUCUGAGAGCCAACCCAUCUAUACUGAGUCCUUUGUUUUUAAAAAAAAAAUGGCCGAUGAUAAAAUUCAAAUUAAUGACAAGCAUAUGUCUGAAUAAAUAAAUAAAUGUUGUUAAUCUUCUCCAUGAGGCCACAUUCAUUUUGAAACCGAUGAGGAUUAGAUUUGUGUUACAACAAUUUUACUGCCUUCCUUCCUUCUAAGGUUUGUUUUUAUUUUAAAAUAUAUUUAUGGUUUUUGAUUGAAUAUUUGAUGAUUUUGAGGAGUUCAGAUGAUGAUCAAUUGCAUAGUUCAAAUGAAUGUUUGUGAUUAGAAAAGUUUUAGUCUUUCCGAUGAACUCACAUUUUUUUAUAUUUUUUAAUUUAAUAAUGAUUGUAUUUAAAUUAGUGGGAUAAUGACGACUCCAUGUGAUAAGGUCUCGUUCGUCGUAAUGGUGUGAUGAAUUCACACCUUGCCCCAUGUGAUAAGGUCUCGUUCGUCGUAAUGGUGUGAUGAAUUCACACCUUGCCGACCAUCCUGUUAUACCACCACCCAUAAACUGA